This 331-nucleotide unclassified non-coding RNA is filed under the name soil metagenome. RNAcentral's name for it is "partial contains 5.8S ribosomal RNA, internal transcribed spacer 2, and large subunit ribosomal RNA". The stretch from base 1 to 120 matches the Rfam family "5.8S ribosomal RNA", at positions 35 to 154 of the family's 154-position model. The record is from RNAcentral.
GAUGAAGAACGCAGCGAAAUGCGAUAAGUAAUGUGAAUUGCAGAAUUCAGUGAAUCAUCGAAUCUUUGAACGCACAUUGCGCCCCCUGGUAUUCCGGGGGGCAUGCCUGUUCGGGCGUCAUUUCACCACUCAAGCCUCGCUUGGUAUUGGGCAUCGCGGUCCGCCGCGCGCCUCAAAUCGACCGGCUGGGUCUUCUGUCCCCUAAGCGUUGUGGAAACUAUUCGCUAAAGGGUGUUCGGGAGGCUACGCCGUAAAACAACCCCAUUUCUAAGGUUGACCUCGGAUCAGGUAGGGAUACCCGCUGAACUUAAGCAUAUCAAUAAGCGGAGGA